GUGGGGAAUUUUGGACAAUGGGCGCAAGCCUGAUCCAGCAAUGCCGCGUGCAGGAAGAAGGCCUUCGGGUUGUAAACUGCUUUUGUACGGAACGAAACGGUCCGGGUUAAUACCCUGGGCUAAUGACGGUACCGUAAGAAUAAGCACCGGCUAACUACGUGCCAGCAGCCGCGGUAAUACGUAGGGUGCAAGCGUUAAUCGGAAUGACUGGGCGUAAAGCGUGCGCAGGCGGUUUUGUAAGACAGGCGUGAAAUCCCCGGGCUCAACCUGGGAAUUGCGCUUGUGACUGCAAGGCUGGAGUGCAGCAGAGGGGGAUGGAAUUCCGCGUGUAGCAGUGAAAUGCGUAGAUAUGCGGAGGAACACCGAUGGCGAAGGCAAUCCCCUGGGCCUGCACUGACGCUCAUGCACGAAGGCGUGGGGAGCAAACAGGAUUAGAUACCCUAGUAGUCC
RNAcentral lists this ribosomal RNA (450 nucleotides) under uncultured bacterium. RNAcentral describes it as "partial 16S ribosomal RNA". It matches the Rfam family "Bacterial small subunit ribosomal RNA", at positions 354 to 796 of the family's 1533-position model. The record is from RNAcentral.